This 492-nucleotide ribosomal RNA is filed under the name uncultured bacterium. RNAcentral describes it as "partial 16S ribosomal RNA". It matches the Rfam family "Bacterial small subunit ribosomal RNA", at positions 29 to 507 of the family's 1533-position model. The record is from RNAcentral.
AGUGAACGCUGGCGGUAUGCCUAACACAUGCAAGUCGAACGGCAGCACAGUAAGAUUUUGCUCUUACGGGUGGCGAGUGGCGGACGUGUGAGGAGUACAUCGGAAUCUACUUUUUCGGGGGGGAUAACGUAAGGAAACUUACGCUAAUACCGCAUACGACGUACGGGUGUAAGCAUUGGAUCUUCGCACCUUGCGCGAUUGAAUGAGCCGAUGUCGGAUUAGCUAGUUGGCGGGGUAAUGGCCCACCAAGGCGACGAUCCGUAGCUGGUCUGAGAGGAUGAUCAGCCACACUGGAACUGAGACACGGUCCAGACUCCUACGGGAGGCAGCAGUGGGGAAUAUUGGACAAUGGGCGCAAGCCUGAUACAGCCAUACCGCGUGGGUGAAGAAGGCCUUCGGGUUGUAAAGCCCUUUUGUUGGGAAAGAAAAGCAGCAGGUUAAUACCCCGCUGUUCUGACGGUACCCAAAGAAUAAGCACCGGCUAACUUCGUG